UAGGGAAUCUUCCACAAUGGGCGAAAGCCUGAUGGAGCAACGCCGCGUGUGUGAUGAAGGCUUAGGGUCGUAAAGCACUGUUGUAUGGGAAGAAAUGCUAGAAUAGGGAAUGAUUCUAGUUCGACGGUACCAUACCAGAAAGGGACGGCUAAAUACGUGCCAG
Molecule: ribosomal RNA, 163 nt
Filed under: uncultured bacterium
Lineage: Bacteria
Description: partial 16S rRNA
Rfam family: Bacterial small subunit ribosomal RNA
Source: RNAcentral